AACUUUCAACAACGGAUCUCUUGGUUCUCGCAUCGAUGAAGAACGCAGCGAAAUGCGAUAAGUAGUGUGAAUUGCAGAAUUCAGUGAAUCAUCGAAUCUUUGAACGCACAUUGCGCCCUCUGGUAUUCCGGGGGGCAUGCCUGUCCGAGCGUCGUCA
RNAcentral lists this ribosomal RNA (157 nucleotides) under Sarcoscypha javensis. Its description in RNAcentral is "5.8S ribosomal RNA". It matches the Rfam family "5.8S ribosomal RNA". From Rfam's summary of the family: 5.8S ribosomal RNA (5.8S rRNA) is a component of the large subunit of the eukaryotic ribosome. It is transcribed by RNA polymerase I as part of the 45S precursor that also contains 18S and 28S rRNA. RNAcentral also lists the same sequence under 1 other name. Lineage: Eukaryota; Fungi; Ascomycota; Pezizomycetes; Pezizales; Sarcoscyphaceae. The record is from RNAcentral.